CAGAUUUCAGCCUUCAGAAGAGGCCUCUGGUCUCUGAGAUCAACCCAGGGGCUAAGUAGUCUGAGAAUCUGCAUGAGCUACAAGGGAAGGCAGUGGUUCCUGCGGUGAGAAUGGCCCAAGAACAUUUUGGAGCUCUGUGCACACAGUGAAUGUGUAAUAAGUGUGACAUGGCCCAUUGUGAAGCUGGGCUUAGUGAGGUCAUGUAUUCUUUUCUAGAAGAGGGUACUGGCAUUGGAAGUUGGAGAGGUAGAAUGGUUCCUGUGCUGUGUCUGCCUUCAUAUCACGGGCAGGUCGUCCUGCCUCCUGCUUCCAGGAGCUUUGCUUCGGGUUUUCUAAAGAUGUAAACAGAGACAUUUAACUCUUCUUAACAUCCUUGCUUCUGUCAAAGCUCAUUGCUUUCCAUUAAAUCAGUUUCACAAAUAA
Long non-coding RNA from Suricata suricatta (meerkat), 423 nucleotides. RefSeq lists it as uncharacterized. The record is from RefSeq and is a predicted model, not a curated record. The transcript has 2 exons. NCBI's taxonomy places the organism in Eukaryota, Metazoa, Chordata, Mammalia, Carnivora, Herpestidae.